UUAAAGAUGUGAACCACCGCCUGC
Molecule: non-coding RNA, 24 nt
Filed under: Rattus norvegicus (Norway rat)
Lineage: Eukaryota; Metazoa; Chordata; Mammalia; Rodentia; Muridae
Source: RNAcentral